CCUGAUCCCAUGCCGAACUCAGCAGUGAAACCGCUUAGCGCCGAUGGUAGUGUGGGGUUUCCCCAUGCGAGAGUAGGUCAUCGUCAGGC
RNAcentral lists this ribosomal RNA (89 nucleotides) under Halomonas urumqiensis. Lineage: Bacteria; Pseudomonadati; Pseudomonadota; Gammaproteobacteria; Oceanospirillales; Halomonadaceae. The record is from RNAcentral.